AAAGGUGUACCUACUGUAACAUGAACUAAGGUGAGGGGUAAAAGGUGUACCUACUGUAACAUGAUCUAUGGUGAGGGGGUAAAAGGUGUACCUACUGUAACAUGAACUAAGGUGAGGGGGUAAAAGGUGUACCUACUGUAACAUGAACUAAGGUGAGGAGGUAAAAGGUGUACCUACUGUAACAUGAACUAAGGUGAGGGGGUAAAAGGUGUACCUACUGUAACAUGAACUAAGGUGAGGAGGUAAAAGGUGUACCUACUGUAACAUGAACUAAGGUGAGGGGGUAAAAGGUGUACCUACUGUAACAUGAACUAAGGUGAGGAGGUAAAAGGUGUACCUACUGUAACAUGAACUAAGGUGAGGGGGUAAAAGGUGUACCUACUGUAACAUGAACUAAGGUGAGGGGUAAAAGGUGUACCUACUGUAACAUGAACUAAGGUGAGGGGUAAAAGGUGUACCUACUGUAACAUGAACUAAGGUGAGGGGUAAAAGGUGUACCUACUGUAACAUGAACUAAGGUGAGGGGGUAAAAGAUGUACCUACUGUAACAUGAACUAAGGUGAGGGGUAAAAGGAGUACCUACUGUAACAUGAACUACGGUGAGGGUCUUAGCCAUCUGUUACAGGAUG
Molecule: long non-coding RNA, 629 nt
Organism: Dreissena polymorpha
Lineage: Eukaryota; Metazoa; Mollusca; Bivalvia; Myida; Dreissenidae
Exons: 6
Source: RefSeq, a predicted model, not a curated record